AUUGAACGCUGGCGGCAGGCUUAACACAUGCAAGUCGAGCGGGGAAGAGUAGCUUGCUACUUGACCUAGCGGCGGACGGGUGAGUAAUGCUUAGGAAUCUGCCUAUUAGUGGGGGACAACAUCUCGAAAGGGAUGCUAAUACCGCAUACGUCCUACGGGAGAAAGCAGGGGACCUUCGGGCCUUGCGCUAAUAGAUGAGCCUAAGUCGGAUUAGCUAGUUGGUGGGGUAAAGGCCUACCAAGGCGACGAUCUGUAGCGGGUCCGAGAGGAUGAUCCGCCACACUGGGACUGAGACACGGCCCAGACUCCUACGGGAGGCAGCAGUGGGGAAUAUUGGACAAUAGGGGGAACCCUGAUCCAGCCAUGCCGCGUGUGUGAAGAAGGCCUUUUGGUUGUAAAGCACUUUAAGCGAGGAGGAGGCUACCGAGAUUAAUACUCUUGGAUAGUGGACGUUACUCGCAGAAUAAGCACCGGCUAACUCUGUG
This 485-nucleotide ribosomal RNA is filed under the name uncultured bacterium. RNAcentral's name for it is "partial 16S ribosomal RNA". It matches the Rfam family "Bacterial small subunit ribosomal RNA", at positions 30 to 507 of the family's 1533-position model. The record is from RNAcentral.